Molecule: RNA transcript, 4036 nt
Organism: Betta splendens (Siamese fighting fish)
Lineage: Eukaryota; Metazoa; Chordata; Actinopteri; Anabantiformes; Osphronemidae
Gene: enc2
Gene name: kelch-like protein 25
Exons: 13
Source: RefSeq, a predicted model, not a curated record
GGACAUGUUGCCCGGGCUCAGGAGAUUGUUUUCAGCAGCUUCCGAGGGUCCCAACAAAGCUGCCAUGUCCGUGACUCUUCACGAGCAUCGUAAAUCCCGCACCAGCACAGGCUCCAUGAACAUCUCAUUGUUCCACAAGCCCUCACAUCCCGACAGCGUCCUCACCCACCUGAACACCAUGAGGAAGCAGUGUCUGUUCACUGAUGUCACCUUGUGGGCCGGAGAACGUUCCUUCCCCUGCCACAGGGCCGUCUUGGCGGCAUGCAGCCGGUAUUUUGAGGCCAUGUUUAGUGGAGGGCUGCGAGAAAGUCUGGACAGCGAUGUCAAUUUUAGAGACACUAUACAUCCUGAGGUUUUGGAACUUCUGCUGGACUUUGCCUAUUCCUCUCGAGUCAUCAUAAAUGAGGAGAAUGCUGAGUCACUCUUAGAGGCCGGUGACAUGCUGCAGUUUCACGACAUCCGAGACGCAGCGGCAGAGUUUUUGGAGAAGAACCUGCACUCGUCCAACUGCCUGGGGAUGAUGCUGCUCUCGGACGCCCAUCAGUGCAAACGUCUGUACGAGCUGUCGUGGAGGAUGUGUCUGUUACACUACGAGACGGUUGGAGAAUCUGAGGAUUUCUACAGUCUGUCUAAAGAUAAACUGCUGGAGCUGAUUCUCAGUGAUGAACUGGAAAUAGAAGACGAGCAGAUUGUGUUUAACUCUAUGAUGCGUUGGGUUCGUUAUGACUUGGAGGUGCGACGCCAUCAUCUACCAGAGCUGCUGAGGGGCAUCAGGUUGGCUCUUCUGCCGUCUGAAUGUCUCCUGGAGGCUGUGGCAUGUGAGGAGCUGGUCAUGGCCGACAAGAGGAGCAGGUCAAUAGUAGAGGAAGCAAUGCAGUGUAAAAAGAGAAUCCUUCAGAAUGAUGGAGUAGUGACCAGUCCCUGUGCACGGCCACGGAAAGCAGGACACACGCUGCUCAUACUGGGAGGCCAGACCUUUAUGUGCGACAAGAUAUAUCAGGUGGACCAUAGCGCUAAAGAGAUCAUCCCCAAGGCAGACCUGCCCAGCCCCAGGAAGGAGUUCAGUGCGUGUGCCAUCGGCUGUAAGGUUUACGUGACGGGAGGAAGAGGGUCAGAGAACGGCGUGUCCAAAGAUGUCUGGAUCUAUGACACGGUCCAUGAGGAGUGGUCCAAAGGAGCGCCCAUGCUGAUAGCCAGGUUUGGCCACGGUUCAGCUGAACUGGAAAACAGUCUGUACGUGGUGGGAGGUCACACAGCCAUAGCUGGAGUGUUUCCCGCUUCUCCGUCCGUCUCCCUGAAGCAGGUCGAGCGCUAUGACCCUGUCAGUAAUAAAUGGACUAUGAUGGCUCCACUGAGAGACGGGGUCAGUAAUGCAGCUGUGGUCAGUGCCAAACUCAAACUCUUUGUUUUUGGUGGUGCCACGAUACACAGAGACAAGGUGUCCAAGGUGCAGUGCUAUGACCCUGUGGGAAACCGCUGGAACAUUGCAGCUGAAUGCCCCCAGCCGUGGCGCUACACAGCGGCUGCCGUCUUAGGGAGCCAGAUCUUCAUCAUGGGCGGCGACACUGAAUUCACUGCUGCCUCUGCUUAUCGCUUUGACUGUGAAACCAACCAGUGGACUCGAGUGGGUGAUAUGACGUCCAAACGAAUGAGCUGCCACGCUGUGGCCUCAGGAAAUAAGCUGUAUGUGGUCGGAGGGUACUUCGGGACACAGCGGUGUAAAACAUUAGACUGCUACGACCCCACGUCGGACAGCUGGAACUCCAUCACUACGGUGCCUUACUCACUGAUCCCCACUGCCUUCGUCAGCACAUGGAAACACCUGCCUGCCUGAUGCUGGCCCACACCAGGAGCUGCUGCUUCAGUCCCUCUUUUCAUUUUAGAGAAUCCAACCUGCAUUUUAUACCAGUGUCCCCUUUACUGAGGCACCAGCAGUGAAUGAAGUGCACCUUAGCUUUGUGCCUGUGUCACCACAUGGCGUAUGUCAUGAAAGCUCCUCAGACGUACAGCAUCCGUCUAGUUUCUGGUUGUGCAGUGACAGUUCUAGAAGCUGGCAUUCAACUAAACUACUCCCAGCUGCUGAUGCUGUGUUCAGGAUCUGGUGUCCACUGAGAGACGACGACUGGCUUGAGGAGACUCUGGUUCCACACAGGACCAACUGCAACACACUGAGAUAAAGCAACAGCCGCACAGACAGAUUCACUAAAUGACGCUUCUACUCAAAUGCACAUUUUGAGGAACAGAUAAUGCUUGUGCAGUCUCAACUUUGAGUUUGUGUGUUUUCUUGUCCUGUUGUUCUAAACCAGUUCUCCUUGUUUGGCUGAUAAUUAGCCAAACGAAGAAAAAGAAAUGCUCCUUUAAGACCAAAUAUGUUCCUUUGGGUGACAAAGGAAUGAUGAUACAUAUGAAACAUGGCCAGUAGUAAUAUGCAUUCUGCCAACUGAAUAGUUGUUAUAAUUGUAACUAUGGAGGGCUCUGCGCCUCACCAGCCAUGAACCUCACCGUCACUGGGAUAAUUAGUUUCCUGUGGCUGGUGGGGAAUGAUUUGAUUUGGUGGGGUACGGUGUCAUAGGGUUCACUUACAUAUGUUGUUGAUGUAGUGACAGUGUUUCUCACUGGAGUUGUGUCGUAGUUCUUGUUUGUUGGCUCGUCAGAGGCUCCUCAGCAGGUGACUGAGGAUAAACUGUAUAUGAGCCUUGGGUUUCCAGCUGUGUGUACAGUAUUUGCUGUUAACAGGCUUUUUAAAGAUGGGGAACAAAAGACAUUUGAACCAUACGAGCUGAGGGCAUGAAUGUUCUGGAUAAGUUGAAGGAUGAUGAACAUAGAGAAGCUGUAGUUUAAUGUUGAUGCAAAUGAAGGAUCAACACUUUGUUCUACUUCAAGUCAACAGUUCUCUUGUUGGUUCCAGUGUUGACCUGGAUUUCGAUUGGGCCGUUCUCAAACCCCACAGUCAAAUGUUACUUACUUUUGCCUAUUUUUGAGUGCCAAAGUAUCGAGACCUUUGCUGCUGAGUGUUUUCCAUGAAGUCAAACUGCACGUAACGUUACGAUGCACGUGUCUGUUCAACAUCCCACAUGAACAUGUAUUUGUAUGUGCAGCUGGGUUUUAGUCCACGAAGCUCCGAUCAAAUGCUGAAACCAUCACUGCCAAAGUACACACGCCGACUGUAUGGUUAUGAACAGUCUUUAGCAUCGUCUCCUGUCACUGUGCAUCAGCGGCUUCCUCUCGUCAUGGAUGACACAGUAGCCUGGUUCCUCGCUGGAGUUGAUUUGCAUUAAGCUGCCGGGAGGAGAUAGUGUCCAAAUCACCGUGUUGACUCACUUUGGGGAGUUGUAUUUUAGCUAAGACACAAAUGCUCCGAAAUACUCUGAACUUGUUUUUUUAGAUUUUUGAAAUGAUUUAAAAAAAGGACUAAAUGUGACAUUUGUCUUGGUGGUAACAAUAAACACUGAUCCACUUUUUGAACUGUCAUAUGCAAAGGUUUGUUGUGCUGUUCUUUUAUCCUCCUCUUAAUAAUCUCACUACAAACAACAAGUAUUAGUAUUUGAGAAAUAUAGCUUAUAUAACUUAUCUUUGUGAAAAAACACCCGGCCAACACUGAGCAACGACUCAGCUGCUGGUGCAGUAGAGGAGCAGCAACGUGUCAUAGUUUUUUGCUUCAGUCUCAUCGUGGUGGUGGAAUCUUGGCCUGUUCUACAACAGCUUUGUUUAGUUCAUUCAGAUUUUGUGGACCUUUGUUUCACAGCUAUAAUAUCGCUCAAUCAUUAGAAUAUCUAAAGCAUUUGAUUUAUUAAAUCCUGUUUCAUCGUCUUGACCCAGACCAAAGAAAACACAAAGACGAGGACAGAUAAAUAAAUCUUUAUUAUUCAUUUAAAAAUCCACAGGUAUCAAUACUUUGGAUGUACAUAAUAUAUUUACAACAUUUUGAUGUUCUGCCCUUUUUUCUUAAUACAUAAAAUGAGACAAAUACACUUUGUACCUUCUGUAAUUAGUACAAGUACAAUUAGGAUGCUCCAACAUGUUAAAACUGUUAAAA